GCACCGAUAGCUCAACCGGCAGAGCAGGGGACUCUUAAUCCCAAGGUUGUAGGUUCGAUUCCUACUCGGUGCA
RNAcentral lists this transfer RNA (73 nucleotides) under Gemmatimonadota bacterium. Its description in RNAcentral is "tRNA-Lys". It matches the Rfam family "tRNA". Rfam says of the family: Transfer RNA (tRNA) molecules are approximately 80 nucleotides in length. Their secondary structure includes four short double-helical elements and three loops (D, anti-codon, and T loops). RNAcentral also lists the same sequence under 2 other names. The record is from RNAcentral. Lineage: Bacteria; Pseudomonadati; Gemmatimonadota.